UAGGGAAUCUUCGGCAAUGGGGGGAACCCUGAACGAGCAACGCCGCGUGAGUGAAGAAGGUUUUCGGAUCGUAAAGCUCUGUUGUUAAGGAAGAACGAGUGUGAGAAUGGAAAGUUCAUACUGUGACGGUACUUAACCAGAAAGGGACGGCUAACUACGUGCCAGCAGCCGCGGUAAUACGUAGGUCCCGAGCGUUGUCCGGAUUUAUUGGGCGUAAAGCGAGCGCAGGCGGUUAGAUAAGUCUGAAGUUAAAGGCAGUGGCUCAACCAUUGUAGGCUUUGGAAACUGGUUGACUUGAGUGCAGAAGAGGAGGGUGGAAUUCCAUGUGUGGCGGUGAAAUGCGUAGAUAUAUGGAGGAACACCAGUGGCGAAGGCGACUCUCUGGUCUGUAACUGACGCUGAGGCUCGAAAGCGUGGGGAGCGAACAGG
This 429-nucleotide ribosomal RNA is filed under the name Bacteroidota bacterium. RNAcentral describes it as "Bacteroidetes bacterium partial 16S ribosomal RNA". It matches the Rfam family "Bacterial small subunit ribosomal RNA", at positions 355 to 776 of the family's 1533-position model. Lineage: Bacteria; Pseudomonadati; Bacteroidota. The record is from RNAcentral.